CCGGCGGGGGGGCGGGCGUCGGCGAGCGCCAUCACCCCGCCAGGCCCCGCUGCUCUCCGCCCUGCCGCUCGGCCGAGCGCGGGGGCUGCCCCCGCCCCUGGCCGCUCCCCCGCACCUGUCGCAGGAGAGCGAGAGGCUGCGGCCCGCCUGCCUCCGCCGGGACCGGAGCUCCCCCGAGCGCUGCCCCGGCCCCGGCAUCACCUGUGCGGGCGGCAGAGCCCGAGGUGCCGUGGGGAGGCGGCCGGGAGAGGCGCAGUGAAGUUGUCCCGUCGGCCGGCCGGGACGGGAGGGUGCUGGCAGGCUGCUCCGCCCUGCUCCUUCCCCAGCUGGGCUGCUCGGGGCAACGCCGGCCCGGCGCCGGUGCAGCAGCUCGGGGAGCGCUGGGCUUGGAGCUGUCAGCUGCUGCAACGUCCCGCCGACGUGUGCUCUCCGCGCUGGGCUCUGCAGUUAUCUCUGCUGCCAGUUGUACUAGUUCCUGGGACUUUCUCCACAAUCUUAAAAGGAGGUCAGAGCUUGUGACUUUUGAGCACCAGAGCCCAGUGACAAGGGUGCUCUGCUCUUGCACACAGGGUUAAGGCAACGCAGAAAAGGCUUGUUCGCCUUGUGCAGCUCCUUUCUAGGAUCCCAGUGACAAAACUUUGUGGUGGUCUUACUUCUGUCAGAGCCAGUUCUCGCUUCCAUCCUGCAGGAAGAGAGCCAAGGAGGAUGCCAAGGACUGCAUCACUGAUUCUUGACAGCCAGGAACCUGACCAAAACUCUGGCAAAGAGAGAAGAGUGCUUUUCUGCCAUAAACUCCCGUUUGUAGUGUCAGUCUUCCAUUCCUAGAAAUCUGGAGGUGCUGUGGAGGUGAUAGGAAACCUGAGGUUGCUAGACCCGCAUGGCUCCUACUGAUAACUGCUCAAUGCCUGACAGAGUGGAAAGGACAAAAGUGAACAUUUUUGACUUUGUGAAAGCUUCUUAAAAACAUGCAUUCGUAGUGCAGCCAUGGAGGGGUUGCUUGAAGGUGAAAAGCAAAAAAAAGAAGGAGCCAAAAUGGAGGGCUUGUCUUCGACCAAGGAGAUAGCAGAGGACAGGAAGCUAAAGAGGUCUUCAAAACAGCACGUCACAUCUUGCAGUGAUCCAGGAAACCACACAACUGGCUGGGGCUGUGACUGCAGAAAUAGUUGUCAGAAACUCUGAAAGCUGCUGUUUUAUCUGCAGAUACUUCUCUUGAUGUCCUGCUGUGAGGAUGAGCUGUAAGCUUCAUAGGCCACGGAGUAAACUUUGGAGGCAGUGUGCUACAGGAGCACCCUUCAGGAGCGCCUUUGCAUGGCAGUGAAAGCAGCAGUGUGGGGGAACAGUGUUGUGGGCUGAUGUGAGUGAGCCUGUGCUGUUUGAGGCCCCCAGCCCUCCUGCCUGGCAAUGUGAGGAAAGGGUACCAUGAGCUGCUGAGUGCCUUGGUGCUUGUUACAGCACCCUGCCUGCUCGCACUGCUGAAGCACUUGGACUCAGGAAAACAAAGCUGGCAAUGAGACUUGAAGAAACUGAAGUUGGUUUGCCCUGUGCUGGUGGUCCCUAUUUUAUUGAUCUUUGUGUGUGUUACAGCCUGUUUAAUAGAUCUUCCUGAGUCCCUGGCUUGUGCUGGUGCACUGGCCUGAAGAAUGAGCUUGUCUGCUGUGCAUCCAGGUAUUCCUGAAAGUACCGGCAGGGCAAAAUGAGCCCUACACAUCAAAACACAGCCUUCCAUUCCUGCCUGGAUUGAACCUCUCAACAGCUGUUGAUUUCACUCUCAGUGCAUUUACAUCCAGUGGCUUCCCUCAAGAGGAAAAUGAAACUAAAAGUAAAACAGAACUGAAAGAAAAACUAAUAAAAGCAAAACUCAUUUUUUUAUGGCAUGAAAUAGAAAGACUGUGACCUUGCAGAGCAGAGUGCUUUGGUACACUUUGCAGACCACUUUGCCAAGUAGUUGAAAGGCUUAGGUAGGGCAUGUGUCCAAGAGGGGCACGUGAAGGUGAUUGUAUCUCUUGUAGCUGUCUGGCCCUUGCAGACACAUCCCUGCUGUCUGAGGCCCUUAACAUCUGUGGAAAAAGUUGCUUUGGCAGCCUCUGCUAUCUGUGCUUCAGUGUCCCAGCAUGCAUCACUAUGGUUUUGAAAGCUGCUUGAACAUUAUUUGUGGGGGUUUGGGUUCCUUUACAUUCUAGAUGUCCAAAGAAGGCCUUCAUCAAGUGGUAGUGGUAAUAGUGGUAGAAAUAGUAGUGGUAAAGGUAGUUUCUCCUUGAAAACACAUUGUGUUAACUGUGCUGAGCAAGUCAGGCUGUGGUAGAGAAUGCUGGGCAGACUGGAGGAUGUUAUUGCCAAUUGCUCUAAACCAUAUGUUUUAGGCAAACAUCUAAUUUAGCACAGUUUUCAGUCUCAAUGUAUAGUGAAGUGCUUCUGUCUGGGUGUGAUUUUUGUGUAUGUAGGGACAGCUGUGGAUGUCCCUGAGUGUUGGCACAGAUGUGCCUAUCCUUAGGGCUCUUGGUGGGUGUCAGCCUUUAAUAACUGUUACUUAAAGUGCCUUUUUCACAGAAAUGGGUAUCCAUUGCUACAGCUAUCAGGCUACUCAGGGAUGCUCAGCCACCAACAGAUUUGUAACCAUGGAGGCAGCCAGAGAGCAGGUAGAGUGCUGAUGGAGGUCUCCUUGGUCUGGCACUGCCAUGCCACCAUUGUGGCUGCUCUGUGGAAGUGUCCUCAGCUCUGCUGUGUGAGCAGUGCAGGUUUCUGCCAGAAAUGGUGCUAUUCCAUUCUAGGAAAAAUCAUUCCUGAAGCACUCUCUUGUCCUCAUUUUCUGCUUUGUUUUUCUUUUAUUUUGUCAUUCUCUUGAUGACUGGGGAAGGAAGGGCAAAGGAAGUUUGAUUAUUGCAAUAUCUGCAGUCAAAGUUUGUUGGUAGUACAGCUGCUGGCCUACAAAACUGCAGCUCUCCACUGCUGAAACCUCUAGAUGUGCUCAUACAAAUUGCUUUGCAUGUCUGCCCCUCAGCACCAUUGUGUGAAGUACCUAAAAUUUGAAAAUAAUGCUUAUUUAUGCUCUCUCCUUUCCUUCUGCCCCCUCAGAAAACAGAAGGGGACAUCAAAUACGUGAAAGACUUAAAAGAUGCUCUGGAUGUUGGUGCCCAGGUGUUCUCUGCAGUGAGGUCUGGCUGGCUUUCUCUGACUGUCCAGUCGUGUUUCAGGGGAGCAGCAGCACUCUUUGCAGCAGAGACUGUGGAGUACCCAGCUAAGGAAUUUCUGUGGAGAAAAAUCUGCUCCCCUUUCUGUUUUCCUUGAAUGAAAACAUAUUGGAGUGUUCACUUAAAUGUGGCUUUUAAACAUUGGUUACAUCAAAAUAAGAUGCUUGGUAUUCUUACUUGCUUUGAAGUGUAUUUUCCUGCAUAAAUGAACUCUGAGCUCAGACAAACAACCUUGUGCUGUGUCACCAGGAAAUAGCUGUCAGCAGAACUGGUUUAAAAAACAAAACAAAACCACCACAAAGCGGUCCUGGAAAAAGAGUCCUUCUCUUUGAAUAAAGCACAUAGAUUGAUUGUGCUUGUAACUGAAACUGGUUUUCAAAUUGUUUGCCUGACAUCUGCAAAUAGAUAUUCAAUCUUUU
Molecule: long non-coding RNA, 3607 nt
Organism: Passer montanus (Eurasian tree sparrow)
Lineage: Eukaryota; Metazoa; Chordata; Aves; Passeriformes; Passeridae
Exons: 3
Source: RefSeq, a predicted model, not a curated record